GGAUGUGAGGACGAUGAAGCUGGCGACAUCUGUCACGCCCUUGAUGGCCAGGGUUGAUUGGGCUGUUAUGGCUGGCUAGGCCGGUUUCCCCCUCCUCCCUCACCGCUCCAGUGAGUCCCUCCUGAAGCUGCAAGCACAACCUUCCCGAAUAGAGGACAGGUCUUCGGUCAAGGAUAUAGGAGGAGCUGCGCUGCCUGGCUAGGACCACCAGACAAGCUCUCAAGAAAAGGAAAUACGAAGGUGAGUGUUUCAGAGUCUCUGCCGACAAGAUUAGUAGGCGGUCAGUCGUUUCUGUAAUAA
This 300-nucleotide small nuclear RNA is filed under the name Meriones unguiculatus (Mongolian gerbil). RNAcentral's name for it is "7SK RNA (ENSMUGG00000002713.1)". It matches the Rfam family "7SK RNA". Rfam says of the family: 7SK was discovered as an abundant small nuclear RNA in the mid-70s but a possible function has only recently been suggested. Two independent studies have found that 7SK RNA binds the CDK9/cyclin T complex (known as elongation factor P-TEFb). Lineage: Eukaryota; Metazoa; Chordata; Mammalia; Rodentia; Muridae. The record is from RNAcentral.